CUGUGGAUAACUUCGGGAAACCGGAGCUAAUACCGGAUAAUAUUUUGAACCGCAUGGUUCAAAAGUGAAAGACGGUCUUGCUGUCACUUAUAGAUGGAUCCGCGCUGCAUUAGCUAGUUGGUAAGGUAACGGCUUACCAAGGCAACGAUGCAUAGCCGACCUGAGAGGGUGAUCGGCCAAACUGGAACUGAGACACGGUCCAG
This 203-nucleotide ribosomal RNA is filed under the name uncultured Staphylococcus sp. RNAcentral's name for it is "partial 16S ribosomal RNA". It matches the Rfam family "Bacterial small subunit ribosomal RNA", at positions 137 to 334 of the family's 1533-position model. Lineage: Bacteria; Bacillati; Bacillota; Bacilli; Caryophanales; Staphylococcaceae. The record is from RNAcentral.